UUGGGAGUCAGAACAUGGGUGAUAAGGUCCGUGUUCGAAAGGGAAACAGCCCAGACCACCAGCUAAGGUCCCAAAAUAUAUGUUAAGUGGAAAAGGAUGUGGCGUUGCCCAGACAACUAGGAUGUUGGCUUAGAAGCAGCCAUCAUUUAAAGAGUGCGUAAUAGCUCACUAGUCGAGUGACACUGCGCCGAAAAUGUACCGGGGCUAAACAUAUUACCGAAGCUGUGGAUUGUCCUUUGGACAAUGGUAGGAGAGCGUUCUAAGGGCGUUGAAGCAUGAUCGUAAGGACAUGUGGAGCGCUUAGAAGUGAGAAUGCCGGUGUGAGUAGCGAAAGACGGGUGAGAAUCCCGUCCACCGAUUGACUAAGGUUUCCAGAGGAAGGCUCGUCCGCUCUGGGUUAGUCGGGUCCUAAGCUGAGGCCGACAGGCGUAGGCGAUGGAUAACAGGUUGAUAUUCCUGUACCACCUAUAAUCGUUUUAAUCGAUGGGGGGACGCAGUAGGAUAGGCGAAGCGUGCGAUUGGAUUGCACGUCUAAGCAGUAAGGCUGAGUAUUAGGCAAAUCCGGUACUCGUUAAGGCUGAGCUGUGAUGGGGAGAAGACAUUGUGUCUUCGAGUCGUUGAUUUCACACUGCCGAGAAAAGCCUCUAGAUAGAAAAUAGGUGCCCGUACCGCAAACCGACACAGGUAGUCAAGAUGAGAAUUCUAAGGUGAGCGAGCGAACUCUCGUUAAGGAACUCGGCAAAAUGACCCCGUAACUUCGGGAGAAGGGGUGCUCUUUAGGGUUAACGCCCAGAAGAGCCGCAGUGAAUAGGCCCAAGCGACUGUUUAUCAAAAACACAGGUCUCUGCUAAACCGUAAGGUGAUGUAUAGGGGCUGACGCCUGCCCGGUGCUGGAAGGUUAAGAGGAGUGGUUAGCUUCUGCGAAGCUACGAAUCGAAGCCCCAGUAAACGGCGGCCGUAACUAUAACGGUCCUAAGGUAGCGAAAUUCCUUGUCGGGUAAGUUCCGACCCGCACGAAAGGCGUAACGAUUUGGGCACUGUCUCAACGAGAGACUCGGUGAAAUCAUAGUACCUGUGAAGAUGCAGGUUACCCGCGACAGGACGGAAAGACCCCGUGGAGCUUUACUGUAGCCUGAUAUUGAAAUUCGGCACAGCUUGUACAGGAUAGGUAGGAGCCUUUGAAACGUGAGCGCUAGCUUACGUGGAGGCGCUGGUGGGAUACUACCCUAGCUGUGUUGGCUUUCUAACCCGCACCACUUAUCGUGGUGGGAGACAGUGUCA
RNAcentral lists this ribosomal RNA (1281 nucleotides) under Staphylococcus aureus M0591. RNAcentral's name for it is "bacterial LSU rRNA". It matches the Rfam family "Bacterial large subunit ribosomal RNA", at positions 977 to 2259 of the family's 2925-position model. The record is from RNAcentral. Lineage: Bacteria; Bacillati; Bacillota; Bacilli; Caryophanales; Staphylococcaceae.